Physeter macrocephalus (sperm whale) is the source of this 367-nucleotide long non-coding RNA. RefSeq lists it as uncharacterized. The record is from RefSeq and is a predicted model, not a curated record. Lineage: Eukaryota; Metazoa; Chordata; Mammalia; Artiodactyla; Physeteridae. The transcript is spliced from 3 exons.
CUCAACUCUAUCAUGAACUGUGAUUGUGAUCCUGAACUUGUAUUUUUUUUUUUCAUCUGUAGCACAGAAAUACAAAAUCUUAGAAGUGGAUGCAAUAUUAAAGUUCAUAUACCAAGUUUUCAGUCAACAUUCUUUACAGCAACAGUGUUGUCCCCAUACCAGCCAUGGAGGAAGCUGUGAAAGAGAGGAUUCAGGAAAUUGGUGCAAAUGAGCUAUCUUGGAAGUCUAGAAAGGAAGAUCUUCAUAGGAAAUUCAGAUGCUCACUCAGCAAAUAGAGCAGCUGCACCAUCUUUAUGAAUAAAGUGUUUAUGAAUCAUCCCAGGCUGAAAAAAGUAUAGGGAACAAUAAAGACCCUUGAUAUAUCUGA